Long non-coding RNA from Hyla sarda, 502 nucleotides. RefSeq lists it as uncharacterized. The record is from RefSeq and is a predicted model, not a curated record. NCBI's taxonomy places the organism in Eukaryota, Metazoa, Chordata, Amphibia, Anura, Hylidae. The transcript has 3 exons.
UGGCCCCGCAUGAGGGUUACGGCCUCUUUUGUUGUGACAAGAAGAUCACUGAAGUUACUGAGAAAGACCGGAACAGUCUGAAGAAACUCCACCCCGGCACUGAGAAAUUACAAGAAAAGGUUACCCAAAGACAGAAGGGGAGAGAAGAAAGGAGGAUUGGAGAUUUCUGCAUUCACUUCAUGUGACAUGAUGUUAUAGCUACAAGGAAGAGAGCAGAGCUGGUAUGAAGAGAUUUGUACCAUGGCUAAUAACAUUAUAAUAAAGUUGCCUGUCGUGCGAAUAUCCGUGCGGAGAGACACAGACACGACAACAGCCAAGGCAACCUUACAAUGCCCAGCAGGUUCAUCAGGAAUCAUUCGUCAGAAAAGGACUCGCGCACGGAACAAGCUGGGUGUCGUACAGCAACUGAGCUGCGUCUGUCUGCACCUAUAUAUACAGAACAGGCAGAAGAACAACGCUGGACUUGUCCUGAUAAUAUCGGAAAUAACAGAACCCCAAGUAG